AAUUUUUGACAAUGGGGGAAACCCUGAUCCAGCCAUCCCGCGUGUAUGAUGAAGGCCUNUGGGUUNUNAAGUACUUUGGGCAGAGNCGAAAAGGUACCUCCUAAUACGAGGUACUGCUGACGGUAUCUGCAGAAUAAGCACCGGCUAACUACGUGCCAGCAGCCGCGGUAAUACGUAGGGUGCAAGCGUUAAUCGGAAUUACGGGGCGUAAAGCGUGUGUAGGCGGUUCGGAAAGAAGGAUGUGAAAUCCCAGAGCGCAACCUUGGAACUGCAUUUUUAACUGCCGAGCUAGAGUAUGUCAGAGGGGGGUAGAAUUCCACGUGUAGCAGUGAAAUGCGUAGAUAUGUAGAGGGAUACCGAUGGCGAAGGCAGCCCCCUGGGAUAAUACUGACGCUCAUACACGAAAGCGUGGGGAGCAAACA
Molecule: ribosomal RNA, 422 nt
Filed under: uncultured bacterium
Lineage: Bacteria
Description: partial 16S ribosomal RNA
Rfam family: Bacterial small subunit ribosomal RNA
Source: RNAcentral